AUUGAACGCUGGCGGCAUGCCUUACACAUGCAAGUCGAACGGCAGCACGGGUGCUUGCACCUGGUGGCGAGUGGCGAACGGGUGAGUAAUACAUCGGAACAUGUCCUGUAGUGGGGGAUAGCCCGGCGAAAGCCGGAUUAAUACCGCAUACGAUCUACGGAUGAAAGCGGGGGACCUUCGGGCCUCGCGCUGUAGGGUUGGCCGAUGGCUGAUUAGCUAGUUGGUGGGGUAAAGGCCUACCAAGGCGACGAUCAGUAGCUGGUCUGAGAGGACGACCAGCCACACUGGGACUGAGACACGGCCCAGACUCCUACGGGAGGCAGCAGUGGGGAAUUUUGGACAAUGGGCGAAAGCCUGAUCCAGCAAUGCCGCGUGUGUGAAGAAGGCCUUCGGGUUGUAAAGCACUUUUGUCCGGAAAGAAAUCCUUGGCUCUAAUACAGUCGGGGGAUGACGGUACCGGAAGAAUAAGCACCGGCUAACUACGUG
Molecule: ribosomal RNA, 486 nt
Filed under: uncultured bacterium
Lineage: Bacteria
Description: partial 16S ribosomal RNA
Rfam family: Bacterial small subunit ribosomal RNA
Source: RNAcentral